This is an unclassified non-coding RNA of Microcebus murinus (gray mouse lemur), 102 nucleotides long. It matches the Rfam family "Y RNA". From Rfam's summary of the family: Y RNAs are components of the Ro ribonucleoprotein particle (Ro RNP), in association with Ro60 and La proteins. The Y RNAs and Ro60 and La proteins are well conserved, but the function of the Ro RNP is not known. The record is from Ensembl. Lineage: Eukaryota; Metazoa; Chordata; Mammalia; Primates; Cheirogaleidae.
GGCUGGUCCAAAGGUAGUUAUCUCAAUUGUUCACAGUUAGUUAUAGAUCAAACUUGUUCUACUCUUCUCUGCCUUCUCACUACUGCACUUGACUAGUCUUUA